RNAcentral lists this ribosomal RNA (236 nucleotides) under uncultured bacterium. Its description in RNAcentral is "partial 16S ribosomal RNA". It matches the Rfam family "Bacterial small subunit ribosomal RNA", at positions 118 to 353 of the family's 1533-position model. The record is from RNAcentral.
UGAGCAAUCUGCCCUUCUCUUCGGAAUAAGCGUUGAAAACGACGUCUAAUGCCGAAUACGACCUCCUUUCGCAUGAUCGGAGGUGGAAAGCUCCGGCGGAGAAGGAUGAGCUCGCGGCCUAUCAGCUAGUUGGUGUGGGUAAUGGCCCACCAAGGCGACGACGGGUAGCCGGCCUGAGAGGGUGACCGGCCAUACUGGGACUGAGACACGGCCCAGACUCCGUACGGGAGGNAGCG